Molecule: long non-coding RNA, 211 nt
Filed under: Capsicum annuum
Lineage: Eukaryota; Viridiplantae; Streptophyta; Magnoliopsida; Solanales; Solanaceae
Description: long non-coding RNA (CANN_LNC001067)
Source: RNAcentral
UGUAAUUCAACACGUACUAGGAUCAAUUCUUGGAACUUAUAAUUUAAAUCAUGGAUUCAAACCCAACAAUAACAUGAACAUGAAUUCAAUUCAACCAAAUCAUAGAAAUCAUAAAUUGGAGAUCUUGCGUAUUUAAAAAAAAAAGGAUUCUUGGACUUCAUGGGUGAGAGUAACCUAUGAAUGAACACCUAACAUACCUUGGUGCUUGAAU